RNAcentral lists this non-coding RNA (198 nucleotides) under Clostridiales bacterium. RNAcentral describes it as "6S RNA". It matches the Rfam family "6S / SsrS RNA". Rfam says of the family: E. coli 6S RNA was the first non coding RNA to be sequenced, but its function was unknown until recently. It consists of 184 nucleotides that fold into an extended hairpin structure with a large single-stranded internal bulge. The record is from RNAcentral. Lineage: Bacteria; Bacillati; Bacillota; Clostridia; Eubacteriales.
UACAUCCUGCGGUGUACGAGAUGACGCCUAAUUUAUAACCUCAACUACUAAAAGGGAUGGCGGAGUAUGCUUGUAUUAUGUCGGGCCUCAGUAAUUUUACUUCGGUAAGCAGGGGAAGACAGACGACGGCAUCAGCCAACCCACCUGCCAUUAGGCGGGUUUGAAUUCGGCUAUAUCUGCGGCACAGGCGGGAUUUUU